GACGAACGCUGGCGGCGUGCUUAAUACAUGCAAGUCGAGCGGGGUUACUGCGACAGAUCCCUUCGGGGUGACGUUGCUUUAACCUAGCGGCGGACGGGUGAGUAACGCGUGGGUAACCUACCCUAAAGCUCGGGAUAACAGUGGGAAACCGCUGCUAAUACCGGAUGACUUUAACCUAUGGCAUCAUGGGUUAAAGAAAGAUUUAUCGCUUUAGGAUGGGCCCGCGUCCCAUUAGCUAGUUGGUGAGGUAACGGCUCACCAAGGCGACGAUGGGUAGCCGGCCUGAGAGGGUGUACGGCCACACUGGGACUGAGACACGGCCCAGACUCCUACGGGAGGCAGCAGUAGGGAAUAUUGCGCAAUGGACGGAAGUCUGACGCAGCGACGCCGCGUGAGCGAUGAAGGCCUUCGGGUCGUAAAGCUCUGUCCUUGGGGAAGAAGGUCUUCGGACUUGACGGUACCCAAGAAGAAAGCCCCGGCUAACUACGUGCCAGCAGCCCGCGGUAAUACGUAGGGGGCGAGCGUUGUCCGGAAUUACUGGGCGUAAAGGGUGCGUAGGCGGCCCUUUAAGUCAGAUGUGAAAGGCCACGGCUUAACCGUGGGAUUGCAUUUGAAACUGGAGGGCUUGAGUGUCGGAGAGGGUAGUGGAAUUCCCAGUGUAGCGGUGAAAUGCGUAGAUUUUGGGAGGAACACCAGUGGCGAAGGCGACUACCUGGACGAUAACUGACGCUGAGGCACGAAAGCUAGGGGAGCAAACAGG
RNAcentral lists this ribosomal RNA (760 nucleotides) under uncultured bacterium. RNAcentral's name for it is "bacterial SSU rRNA". It matches the Rfam family "Bacterial small subunit ribosomal RNA", at positions 28 to 776 of the family's 1533-position model. The record is from RNAcentral.